This 1343-nucleotide ribosomal RNA is filed under the name uncultured bacterium. RNAcentral's name for it is "16S ribosomal RNA". It matches the Rfam family "Bacterial small subunit ribosomal RNA", at positions 28 to 1378 of the family's 1533-position model. The record is from RNAcentral.
GACGAACGCUGGCGGCGUGCUUAACGCAUGCAAGUCGAACGGAAAGGCCCUGCUUUUGUGGGGUGCUCGAGUGGCGAACGGGUGAGUAACACGUGAGUAACCUGCCCUUGACUUUGGGAUAACUUCAGGAAACUGGGGCUAAUACCGGAUAGGAGCUCCUGCUGCAUGGUGGGGGUUGGAAAGUUUCGGCGGUUGGGGAUGGACUCGCGGCUUAUCAGCUUGUUGGUGGGGUAGUGGCUUACCAAGGCUUUGACGGGUAGCCGGCCUGAGAGGGUGACCGGCCACAUUGGGACUGAGAUACGGCCCAGACUCCUACGGGAGGCAGCAGUGGGGAAUAUUGCACAAUGGGCGGAAGCCUGAUGCAGCAACGCCGCGUGCGGGAUGACGGCCUUCGGGUUGUAAACCGCUUUCGCCUGUGACGAAGCGUGAGUGACGGUAAUGGGUAAAGAAGCACCGGCUAACUACGUGCCAGCAGCCGCGGUGAUACGUAGGGUGCGAGCGUUGUCCGGAUUUAUUGGGCGUAAAGGGCUCGUAGGUGGUUGAUCGCGUCGGAAGUGUAAUCUUGGGGCUUAACCCUGAGCGUGCUUUCGAUACGGGUUGACUUGAGGAAGGUAGGGGAGAAUGGAAUUCCUGGUGGAGCGGUGGAAUGCGCAGAUAUCAGGAGGAACACCAGUGGCGAAGGCGGUUCUCUGGGCCUUUCCUGACGCUGAGGAGCGAAAGCGUGGGGAGCGAACAGGCUUAGAUACCCUGGUAGUCCACGCUGUAAACGGUGGGUACUAGGUGUGGGGUCCAUUCCACGGGUUCCGUGCCGUAGCUAACGCUUUAAGUACCCCGCCUGGGGAGUACGGCCGCAAGGCUAAAACUCAAAGGAAUUGACGGGGCCCCGCACAAGCGGCGGAGCAUGCGGAUUAAUUCGAUGCAACGCGUAGAACCUUACCUGGGUCUGACAUGGAUCGGGAGUGCUCAGAGAUGGGUGUGCCUCUUUUGGGGUCGGUUCACAGGUGGUGCAUGGCUGUCGUCAGCUCGUGUCGUGAGAUGUUGGGUUAAGUCCCGCAACGAGCGCAACCCUUGUUCACUGUUGCCAGCACGUUAUGGUGGGGACUCAGUGGAGACCGCCGGGGUCAACUCGGAGGAGGGUGGGGAUGACGUCAAGUCAUCAUGCCCCUUAUGUCCAGGGCUUCACGCAUGCUACAAUGGCUGGUACAGAGAGUGGCGAGCCUGUGAGGGUGAGCGAAUCUCGGAAAGCCGGUCUCAGUUCGGAUUGGGGUCUGCAACUCGACCUCAUGAAGUCGGAGUCGCUAGUAAUCGCAGAUCAGCAACGCUGCGGUGAAUACGUUCCCGGG